This 552-nucleotide long non-coding RNA is filed under the name Coffea arabica (coffee). RNAcentral describes it as "long non-coding RNA (CARA_LNC008302)". The record is from RNAcentral. Lineage: Eukaryota; Viridiplantae; Streptophyta; Magnoliopsida; Gentianales; Rubiaceae.
GAUAAGUGGGAUUAACAUUGAAUUUGGUACCGAAUAGUGACAUUGAAUUUGGUACCGACUAGUGGCAUAGAGAAACCAAACUGGUCCCACGGGACUUAGCUUGACCGCGGGCGAUAACAUACAGGAUCGGGUGUGGAUUUUAACACAGUAGAUAGUGAGCGCAUCAAACGAACAAAUGGUUCCAACUGCAAACACAAUGAUGACCUCAUCUGCUGCAUUUUCAAUUUGCAGAAGCAUUUCUCCGUCUUCUUCCUCUCCCACCACUUCACCUACUGGCGUUCGACCUCGGUUCUUUCGGUUCCCAAACCAUACUACCUCCAUUGCUUCUCCUUUACUUUUUGCUGCCAUUUAUUCCCCUAUUUUGACAAAGCUUCCGACAACGAGAAAGCUACGCUCUUUUGUUGCAGCAGCCGAAGACGAAACCCUGGUUUCCAGAGGCUGAACAGCAAGCAGAUAAGCAGCGUCCUACUCCUCCGCGCCAGCAGCCCACCACCGAUCAGACUGUCUCUGUUACCGUCUCGCCUUCUGAUAUCCUUACCAUGUUCUUUCAGG